This 492-nucleotide ribosomal RNA is filed under the name uncultured bacterium. RNAcentral's name for it is "partial 16S ribosomal RNA". It matches the Rfam family "Bacterial small subunit ribosomal RNA", at positions 29 to 507 of the family's 1533-position model. The record is from RNAcentral.
AGUGAACGCUGGCGGUAGGCCUAACACAUGCAAGUCGAACGGCAGCACAGUAAGAGCUUGCUCUUACGGGUGGCGAGUGGCGGACGGGUGAGGAAUACAUCGGAAUCUACUUUUUCGUGGGGGAUAACGUAGGGAAACUUACGCUAAUACCGCAUACGACCUACGGGUGAAAGCAGGGGAUCUUCGGACCUUGCGCGAUUGAAUGAGCCGAUGUCGGAUUAGCUAGUUGGCGGGGUAAAGGCCCACCAAGGCGACGAUCCGUAGCUGGUCUGAGAGGAUGAUCAGCCACACUGGAACUGAGACACGGUCCAGACUCCUACGGGAGGCAGCAGUGGGGAAUAUUGGACAAUGGGCGCAAGCCUGAUCCAGCCAUACCGCGUGGGUGAAGCAGGCCUUCGGGUUGUAAAGCCCUUUUGUUGGGAAAGAAAAGCAGCAGGUUAAUACCCCGCUGUUCUGACGGUACCCAAAGAAUAAGCACCGGCUAACUUCGUG